RNAcentral lists this ribosomal RNA (468 nucleotides) under uncultured bacterium. RNAcentral describes it as "partial 16S ribosomal RNA". It matches the Rfam family "Bacterial small subunit ribosomal RNA", at positions 28 to 507 of the family's 1533-position model. The record is from RNAcentral.
GACGAACGCUGGCGGCGUGCUUAACACAUGCGAGUCGAACGGAAAGGCCCUGCUUUUGUGGGGUGCUCGAGUGGCGAACGGGUGAGUAACACGUGAGUAACCUGCCCUUGACUUUGGGAUAACUUCAGGAAACUGGGGCUAAUACCGGAUAGGAGCUCCUGCUGCAUGGUGGGGGUUGGAAAGUUUCGGCGGUUGGGGAUGGACUCGCGGCUUAUCAGCUUGUUGGUGGGGUAGUGGCUUACCAAGGCUUUGACGGGUAGCCGGCCUGAGAGGGUGACCGGCCACAUUGGGACUGAGAUAUGGCCCAGACUCCUACGGGAGGCAGCAGUGGGGAAUAUUGCACAAUGGGCGGAAGCCUGAUGCAGCAACGCCGCGUGCGGGAUGACGGCCUUCGGGUUGUAAACCGCUUUCGCCUGUGACGAAGCGUGAGUGACGGUAAUGGGUAAAGAAGCACCGGCUAACUACGUG